This 1403-nucleotide long non-coding RNA is filed under the name Anas platyrhynchos platyrhynchos (common mallard). Its description in RNAcentral is "lncRNA (ENSAPLG00000029998.1)". Lineage: Eukaryota; Metazoa; Chordata; Aves; Anseriformes; Anatidae. The record is from RNAcentral.
GCGACGUCAGGGCCGUGACUCAGCCCGCGGGAUGAGGCCCCGCGCCGCCCCGGCCCUACAAAAGGCGGAGGAGCCGCCGGAGGCCUCAGAGCGCCCGCCGCCAUGGCCGCCUUCGGCCUCCUCCUCCUCCUCCUCCUCGGCACCGCCGAAGCGGCCCUGAAGCCCCGUCACCCCGUGGCGCAGGAGCAGCUGAUCCCACAGCAUCCCUAUGACAUCCAGCAGGUGAUGCAGGAGGAGCAGGACAUCGAGCUGCCCCCCGAGGUGGUGUCGGCGGCCAAAAACCCCCCCAGACCCCGGGCGCCAUCGUCCCAGGAUUCCAUCGACGCCAUCGGGGCCUCGUCGUGGGGCAGCACCUUGGAGGGUUUCCCCCCCCGCUUGGCCCCUUCCCGACGCCUUGGCCCAGCACUGCCGCGCCCCCGCUCUGUUCCCCCGAGCCCCCCGGCCCUCGUUGCCCCCCGCCGCCUUCGCCCACCUCCGCCGCCAGGUGGACGCCCUCGACGCCUUCUGGCCUCGCCUCGACGGCUGCUGCCGCCGCCCGGCCCCGCUGCCCUGUGCCCGCCGCGCCUGGACCGAUGUCCUGAACAGCUUCUGCGACGACGAAUUUGGGGUGAAAACGCGCCAAUUCCACUGCUGCCGCCGGCACGGGGCCGCGCGGCGCCGCUGCUUCACCGACGCCACCGCCGCCGCCACCGCCGCCACCCACGUCACCCAAGUGACCGAGGUGACCGUGUGGGACGUGGCCCACGAGCCUUCCUUCCCCCCCGGCGAGCCCACGGCCGCCAACAUGGACAACAUCUGCCGCCUGCGGGGGCUGCGGCCCGGCCCCCGCGGCCUCCCCGGGCCCCGCGCCCGCUUCUACACCCGCCUGGAGCGCGACUUCGGCCGCUGCUGCGACAACGGCACCGGGCUCGCCUGCGCCCGUGCAGCUUGGCAGAAGGGCCUGGAUCGCUACUGCCGGGAGGAAGGGGCGGUGAAGACGGGGCAGCACCGCUGCUGCCAGCGGGGGGGGGGGGCCGUGCCCGCAGCCGCUGCUUCGCCGCCGCCGCCCCCCACCCUGCCUACGACCGCGAGCUGCACAACGUCAGCCUGGCCCGGCUGGGCCCCGCCAUGCUCCGAACCCUCUGCGGCCCCAUCAGGCUGCUCAGCAAGAGGUGGGUGUGGGGGGGGCACCCGUAAACCCGGGACCCCCUCCUCAUAACCCCGGGACCCCCUCCUCAUAACCCCAGGACCCCCCCCUCACUCAUCCCAUAACCCUGGGACCCCCUCCUCAAAACCCUGGGACCCCCCUCCCUCACCCCAUAACCCCGGGACCCCCUCCCCAUAACCCCAGGACCUCCUCCCCAUAGCCCCAGGACCCUAUCCCCAUAAUCCCAGGACCCCCCCCAUAACCUUGGGACCCUCUC